GACGAACGCUGGCGGCGUGCCUAAUACAUGCAAGUCGAGCGGAUGAAGGAGAGCUUGCUCUCUGGAUUCAGCGGCGGACGGGUGAGUAACACGUGGGCAACCUGCCUGUAAGACUGGGAUAACUUCGGGAAACCGGAGCUAAUACCGGAUAAUUUCUUUUCUCACAUGAGAGAAGGUUGAAAGACGGCUUCGGCUGUCACUUACAGAUGGGCCCGCGGCGCAUUAGCUAGUUGGUGAGGUAACGGCUCACCAAGGCAACGAUGCGUAGCCGACCUGAGAGGGUGAUCGGCCACACUGGGACUGAGACACGGCCCAGACUCCUACGGGAGGCAG
RNAcentral lists this ribosomal RNA (333 nucleotides) under uncultured Bacillota bacterium. Its description in RNAcentral is "bacterial SSU rRNA". It matches the Rfam family "Bacterial small subunit ribosomal RNA", at positions 28 to 351 of the family's 1533-position model. Lineage: Bacteria; Bacillati; Bacillota. The record is from RNAcentral.